UAGGGAAUAUUGCACAAUGGGGGAAACCCUGAUGCAGCAACGCCGCGUGAGUGAUGAAGGCCUUCGGGUUGUAAAGCUCUGUCGUGAGGGAAAAAUAAAUUGAUGGUACUUCACAAGAAAGGACCGGCUAACUUCGUGCCAGCAGCCGCGGUAAUACGAAGGGUGCAAACGUUGCUCGGAAUUAUUGGGCGUAAAGCGCACGUAGGCGGCAUAGCAAGUCGGAUGUGAAAUCCCUCGGCUCAACCAAGGAAGUGCAUCCGAAACUGCUGUGCUUGAGUACGAAAGAGGAUCGCGGAAUUCCCGGUGUAGAGGUGAAAUUCGUAGAUAUCGGGAGGAACACCAGUGGCGAAGGCAGCGCACUGGCCAAAAUCUGACGCUCACACACGAAAGCUAGGGUAGCGAAGAGGAUUAGAUACCCCCGUAGUCCCUGAGCGGGCUGGCAAGGCGCAU
RNAcentral lists this ribosomal RNA (450 nucleotides) under uncultured bacterium. Its description in RNAcentral is "bacterial SSU rRNA". It matches the Rfam family "Bacterial small subunit ribosomal RNA", at positions 355 to 825 of the family's 1533-position model. The record is from RNAcentral.